Long non-coding RNA from Diabrotica virgifera virgifera (western corn rootworm), 11114 nucleotides. RefSeq lists it as uncharacterized. The record is from RefSeq and is a predicted model, not a curated record. The transcript is spliced from 2 exons. NCBI's taxonomy places the organism in Eukaryota, Metazoa, Arthropoda, Insecta, Coleoptera, Chrysomelidae.
AAAUAAAGCAGUUUACAAGGGGGUCAAAAUAUUGUGAAUAACCCUGUACAUUCACUGGGGCCGACCGACCGGCUCUGUCCCGUCAUACAGCUGACCAACUAUAAUAACUUUUAUUUAUAUUCAAUUUAGAAUGUGUGUACUGAUUUUCAGCCUUAGUAAAUGGAUCUAAUUACCUUCGUAGGAAAGCAACUUUGAUACCCUCUCAGUAACCCCUGUGCUACGUUUCGCUUGACCGACCGCAGUAUGUUUCUCUAUACAAUCACAGUAAUGAACUGUGAAAAAUCUAGCUUUAGUAAAUUCAAAGAGAUUUUUCAGCGCUGCCUCUUGGACUGUUACUUCAACUGAGACUUCGACCAGGUGUUCAGCUGUCCUGUAGCUGCGCAUCGUCAUCAAAGCGCUGCGUUGUAAGCCAUGUCUUCAUUGCUCGAAACAGGUGGUAGUCGCUAGGUGCAAGGUCCGGACUAUACGCCGGAUAAGGAAACACCUCCCACUUGAAUUUUGUAAGGACUUCUCCAGUACGAUUUGCCGUGUGUGGUCAGGCAUUGUCAUGCAACAACAAAAUUUUCGAGCUCAGCUUUCUUCUGCGUUUGUUUUGUAUCGCUCUUCGUAACUUUUCCAAUGUUUCACAAUAUCUCGCCGAGUUAAUUGUUGAGCCACGUUCCAGGAAGUCCUUCGCUGAUCCAGAAAACUGUUGCCAUAAUCUUCCUUGCAAACAGGAUUUUUUGGUUUUUAGGGGAAUGUAUGUCUCCGCACUCCAUAGACUGCAAUUUCGUUUCGCAAUUGACAUGUUUUACCCAAGUUUCAUCUCCAGUCACAAUUCGAUCAUGUAAUGAGUCACCAUAUUUUUUCCAAGAGUCCAAAAAACGUCAAUGAAGCAGCCAUACGCAGAUUUUUAUGGGUUUCUGUCAAGAGUUUUGGUACCCACCUUGCACAAAAUUUGUGAUAACUUAACUUUUGUGAAACAAUUUCAUGCAACAAACUUAUUAAAAUUUAUGGAAUUUUCUAGUCGACUUUAGAGACAAGUUCAUCAGUCACAAUGCUUGGCCGUCCACAUUAUUCGUAUAAACAGCUCAGAUUUCGCGAUAAAUUUCAAUUGGUUUGUUGUUUUUAACCAACAAGAACCGUUUUACCGAUCGCACCUCACAAGUCACAACUGGCGGGGUUUUCGAUCGCGGCACAUAGCACGGCUGGACAUCUACUGAACGGAGGAACGCUACGAUGCUAAGAUGGCCGCGCUAGCCCCGCCCCUAGCGGCAAAAUUUCUGAAUAGCCUGCGUAUAUAAUAUUUAAAUAAAUUCUAAUUCGGAAAAUAACAUUGUGUUGAAUAUUGGUUUUGGUCCAAUUCAUAUGGGACUAGCUCCUAAAACUUCCAUUUUUUACUUUUUUCGAAAUUCCGACGACAAUUUUUAAAACUGUUUUUGACAGAUUGUUACGCCAACUGCCGGAGAACUCUUUGAACCUUUUUGAAAUCUCUGUCGCAUCUUCGAGCAUCGAUAAAAUCAAAUUCCAUUUUUAUUUCACAACAAACUUGUUAAGUGCACUUCUUUAUUAGGAUGAAUGUUUAAAAAUUUUUCUACAGAGUGCCAUUUAUCGUCAAAAAGAAAUCUUUUAAAAAAAUAUCGAGGGUUAUUAAUUUUUAUUGUAGUUCUAUUUUACACGUUAUUUUUUUUAAUAUACUUUGUAUGCUGAUACCUUUACAGCACAAUUCUUGAAAUGUUGGACAAGGUUACGGCAUGUAACCUUUGACCCAAAUAUAUAUGUUACAGUUCAAGUUGAUUGUCCAGUUGGAGUUGACUAUUCCUAGUUCGAGUCAACUCAGGCCGGUUUUAGUAAAAGUUGAUUAUAAAUAUAGAUUUUUAUUCAACAUUUACUAGUAAAAGUAGACUCCAACUAGGAAAAGUAUACUCUUCCCAAUGCCAUUUAGUAAGUCAAUCAUUAGAUCAGUUUUUCCCAAUCAUUAGGUCAACACUUACUAGUCAAAGUAAUAGUGUCAAAGUAAAUUAAGAACUUGUGCCCUCAAGCUUUUCAUGAAAAUGGAACCAUCAUAAAUAAAAACACCAGAUUCUAUAAAUAAAAUUUUACGAGUUGAUAACAGUCAAAAUAAAACGCACGCAUCACAAAUCACAUGCGAUUCUAAAUUUACUGAAUAGAUCUAGAAAUAUUCAACUCAAACUAGUAAGAGUUCAUUCUCUCUUCCCGGGAUCUACUAUCACUAACAAAGGUUAGGAAGAGUCUACUUCAAUUAGUAAAAAUCAUAAUUUUAUUGAAUAGAUCUAGGAAUAGUCAACUCAAACUAGUAAGAGUUAAUUCUCUUCUUCCCGGGAUCUACUAUCACUAACAAAUGUUAGGAAGAGUCUACUUCAACUAGUAAAAGUCAUACUUUUAUUGAAUAGAUCUAGAAAUAGUCAACUCAAACUAGUAAGAGUUAAUUCUCUUCUUCCCGGGAUCUACUAUCACUAACAAAGGUUAGGAAGAGUCUACUUCAAUUAGUAAAAAUCAUAAUUUUAUUGAGUAGAUCUAGAAAUAGUCAACUUAAACUAGUAAGAGUUAAUUCUCUUCUUCCCGGGAUCUACUAUCACUAACAAAGAUUAGGAAGAGUCUACUUCAACUAGUAAAAGUCAAACUUUUAUUGAAUAGAUCUAGGAAUAGUCAACUCAAACUAGUAAGAGUUAAUUCUCUUCUUCCCGGGAUCUACUAGUACUAACAAAGAUUAGGAAGAGUCUACUUCAACUAGUAAAAGUCAAACUUUUAUUGAAUAGAUCUAGGAAUAGUCAACUCAAACUAGUAAGAGUUAAUUCUCUUCUUCCCGGGAUCUACUAUCACUAACAAACAUUAGGAAGAGUCUACUUCAACUACUAAAAGUCAAACUUUUAUUGAAUAGAUCUAGGAAUAGUCAACUCAAACUAGUAAGAGUUAAUUCUCUUCUUCCCGGGAUCUACUAGUACUAACAAAGGUUAGGAAGAGUCUACUUCAACUAGUAAAAGUCAAACUUUUAUUGAAUAGAUCUAGAAAUAGUCAACUCAAACUAGCAAGAGUUAAUUCUCUUCUUUCCGGGAUCUACUAGUACUAAUAAAGGUUAGGAAGAGUCUACUUCAACUAGUAAAAGUCAAACUUUUAUUGAAUAGAUCUAGGAAUAGUCAACUCAAACUAGUAAGAGUUAAUUCUCUUCUUCCGGGGAUCUACUAUCACUAACAAAGGUUAGAAAGAGUUUUACUUAAACUAGUAAAAGUUGAAUUCAAGUUUUCAAAUUAACUCUUACUUCUCGCUUUAGUUUGAGUUGACUCUAACUAAGAAUAGUCAACUCUAACUGAGAAUCUACUUGAACUCUAACAUAUAUUUUUUGAACGAAGACUUUCAUUUUUAUAACGAAUAUUUGAAAAUAUUUCUUUUUACAUUUGAGAAAAAUUGUCUAAUUCUUCUAUAGCUAUAGACGUGCUUUCUUUUGGUUUCUUUUGUACGUGGAUGACGCUCUGUACGAAGAAAAAAUACCAAAAAACUGUAUAUAUUAUUAUUAUACAUACAAUAUAAUUAAUAGAAAAUUUUUUGAAAAAUCGUUUAUUUCUCGUUUAUUGCUGUAUGAAAUUGUUUUUAUACAGAUUUUUAAGGAAAAGAUCGUGAGAAACGGAUCAAUGUUGAAACCAUGUUUUGUUAAUUUUUUUAAUAGAUGGGAAGGUUGCAAUAUCGGAGCGUAUCAAAAAAAAUUUAAUGUUUCGUGUAAGACCGAUAUGUCAAUAUUCCAAAGUAUUUUCUAAUCGUCUGUUAUUUUAUUAAGUAUUACUUAAAAAUGAUUGUGCGAGUUUCAGUUUUAUUAGGCGACUUGAACAAUACAUGUAAGAAGACAAACAAAAGCUCAAUCUGAUGACGUUAGUGCUAGUCGAUCUUUGAUAACUACAUAUCAAGUCUACAUGAACAAUGAUGAUAGUGGUUUAAAUUUAUAAUUCCAGAUUUCGCUUGCGCUACACAAUACACAAAAUGAAGUUAUCUUCCUCACAAUAGGAGUGUUCCGAUGGUGGGUGUUAACGGAAUCAAUUAAAAAUAAGUGUAAACAACGAACAGUAAUAUUUAUUUUUAUUUGGUUAAAAUGCGUGCUUAUUCAUCUCGUAAGAGGGUUGUUUAUUGUUUUGGGGCAGCGAGGGUGCGUCUGAACUGCCUGCCUGCUGUGACGAUACUGCAGAGACCACAACACGGUCAUCACGUUUGCGGUUUUACAAUUUUUAAGGCAAUAAAUUACUACAUCUGGCGUUUUAAAAGCUCGGAACUUUUCUGUAGUUUUAAGAAACGUCUUCGAAUGCAUUUCCAAAGUGCGUUGACAUAAGGUCUGAUAAGGUAAUUAAUUUAUGGGGAAUUCAGUUUGUUAAACUGAAGACAACAAAAACAUAUUAUGGUUAAGGAUACAUUUGGUUUCAUAAAACGUCUUAGCAUCUAGUUUGUAUAUUAAAUGUGAAUUUAUAUGACCGUUUUGAGAAAACUUAUUAAAAAAUAAAAUUAGCAAAAAUAGUAAUUAAAGCGUGUCGCCACAGGAGUAUUCAGGCUUAAUAUGAUCAAUGAUUUUCUGUGAAGGAAAAACUUGCUCCUCUUGCUUCUCUUUAAAUACAAAUCAAGAUAUUUAUUAUAUAAACACGUUUUUUGAGACAGCACCAAGUAAACCGGAAAUAAUACUAAGUAUCAAAAGACCAAAACUUGAGUACUUGGGACAUGUGAUAAGAGGGCAAAAUUACUCAUUAUUACAACUUAUUAUGCAAGGCAAAAUCCGAGGAAAGCGAAAUGUGGGAAGACGAAGAACAUCCUGGCUUAAGAACUUACGGGAAUGGUUCGAAUGCAGUAGUGCAGAGCUAUUUAGAGCGGCAGUCAACAGAGUCCGCAUUGUCAUGAUGAUUUCCAACCUUAGAUAGAAGUGGAACUUAAAGAAGAACAAUAGUUCCAUAGUAUUCCACUUUUGACAUACAAAAUACCUAAUGAACUAAAGGAAAUAUAAAUUUAUUAUUGACACAGAAAUACAUAAAUUAAUUGACUUUGAAUUCGACACAGUAAACUCCAUUUUCCAGUAUACAAUAGAAAGAAAGGUGUGAUAUGUGAUAUUUGGACAUAAUGCCUAAAAAGACAUUCACAGAGUCCCGUGUGCCAAUAUAUUUAUCAUCGUUCUCUCCAUUUCUACAGUUUUUCCUAACUGUUGGAAGUCCCAUAAAAUUGAUUUGGUUGUUUAAAUAGUUCGAAAUUAUGUCCCUUUUUUUUCCCUUGUCGACGCCGGUGUUGUUCCUUGCUAUCGAAAUUCGCAUGUGUCGCGAAGAAGAGGAUGGGACGCUUACCAUUUGAGAUCCAAAAAUUCUUCCCCUAUGAUAUAAGGAACGAGAUGCCUUGAAAACUCGAAUGUGUACAGACGUGUAAUAGUUAGUGAAUUCGUUCGUUUGUUUUUCGAUCGUUGUGUCUCCAGCCAGACGGGGUAAGCUUGACCUAAAUUGAAUUACCUUUAUUUCCAUUGUCUCGUUUUUGAAUUAUUUAGCAACAAGCCAAUUUGAAUUUGUGUAUUAUUAUUGUAUUGCGCUUAUGGAGAAAUUCCGCUUUCUCUCAAUAUUAGAGCUAUCAGAAGGGAUAGACUUUAUAAGCAGGUGUUGUAAUUAGUGUUUAUUGCUUAUUUUUGAUGUUAUCACUUGUUUCGUUCAAUACCUUCUAGUAAUCACACACUAACUUUUCGGUUGAAUAGAGUAGGCCGAUAGAUAACUAGUACGGUGAGCAAUAGGCUCUUGUGGUUCAGUUAUAUUUAUUCGCUGCUUUCUCCGGAAGGAGUUAAAAGUGAGCAAACCGGAGAUUAUAGUAUAUGAUUGUUUAGUGUCUACAUGUUGACUUCAACCGCCUAAUAAUUUUAUUGCAUUAUAUGAUAUUUUGUGAUCGGCCAUGAUUGCUUGUUUGUAAAUAGUGCAACCGACUCAUUGUUAAAAUGUUUAAUAAUUUUUAUAUUUAUUUAAAAUAUUUAUUCUUCGCAAUUACCUGAUUAGGAUGAGCAUUGAAUUACUCCUUGAGCUCAAAAUAUGAAGAUGAUAUUUUUAUCGAUUUUAGGUGUUAUAAUAAAUCUUUUUUAUGUCAAUUUUAUUCUGAUAUACAGGAUAUUUUUUAAAGAUUAUUGAAUUGACCUUAUAUUUUAUAUCAGAUCGAUUAUAAUGUUUUGUAGCGACAAAAACAGGAAGAUGACUUAAGGGGGUAAGCGCAAAAUUUCGGCUGCAAUGCUUUUUAAACGCAUUCAUUUUUUUUUCGAAUCCUGAGAAAACUAAUAUGUAUCUUUGAAAAAUUUAAACGGAGAAUGAAAGAUUACGUUUUACCGAGGGCUGAAGGUCCUUGAAAAUUUCUAUAAUCUCUAUUUUAUGAGUUAUAGAGGUCAAAAAAAAUAAGAGAAAGUUUAGUGUGAUUUUUAAUUUUAAAUAUCUCAUUUAAAAGAAACAUUUAUGGUUAUUCUAAGGGACUUUGGGUUCUCGGUAAUAAUGUAAUCUUUCAUUCUGCGUUUAAAUUUUUCAAAAAUAUUUAUUAGUUUUGUCGGGAUUCGAAAAAAAUAAAUGCAUUUAGAAAGCAUUGGAACCGAAAUUUUGCGCCUACGGCCUUAACUAUGCGCUUCUAUAUACAUCAAAAUUAAAUCUGUUUGAUAAAGUAUUAUGAAAUUAAAAAAAAUAUUGAUUUUGGAGCGGACUUAGUCAGUUUUUUUAUCACUUAUUUUUUAUUUCAAGCAACAAAACACGAAGUGGUGGUCAAAAAUUAACGAUAUUAAAAAUUCUUUUGGUAGGUGUACACAGACUAGUAGUCUGUGUAGGAGGAUACGUCUAAAGUUAUCGGCUAAUAGAGGUUAUGGUUAUGAUAGAUCUGGGCAAGGCCCACUUGUGAGCCCUCCAGGCUCCAAGACAGGAGUCAUAUAAUAAUGGAGGCUCUUUUUCACUGAAUUUAGAUAAAGAGUAGUACAUACAAAAAUGUUUAUUUCCAUGAAAAGUUUCAGCAAAAAAAAAAUAAAUAAACUUCCAAAUCUGCUCAUAUUGACUUCUUUAAAAUAUUUAAAUAACUUAUAAUUAACUUCUUGAAGUAUUUAUUAUUAAUAUUGACACUUAAUGCAUGACUUUAUCCAUGACUGCUUCAAAAAAAACUUAGUGUAUUACACACUAAAACUAACCAGCUUUUUGCCUGAACGCAUCAACACCAUGAUUUCUUCAUAAAACUUCGAAAUCGGCUACAUUCUCACUUAAGUUCUCAAUCAAACUUCCACUUCAAAAGCUCAAACUAAAAAUUCAACUCAACUCUUCAGAAACCGCCAUAAGCGGUCUCCGACCGAAGCUACAACCAACCUCUGACUUCAACUUCCAAAACUUGAAUCCUUUAAUCUCACAACUUGAAUGCAUCUCCUCAAACCAAAACGCUUCCUUCCAAAGACCCACUCCAUUUCUCUCAUUCUACUCUACUCAUCCAAUCAACCAAUAAGAAAAAAGUUUAAUCCUUCUUUCAUCCAUGACUAAUAAAAAAAUAACCAAGCUUCCUACAUGUACUAUCGACCAAUAGGGAAAAACAAAAUAUAUUUUAAGCCCAACCUACUUAGUAGGGAACCAUCAAAAAAUCAUUUCGCAAGUCGGCAAAACUCACUUAGUUCUACAGUUCUCAAGAAAAAUACUGCUGAGUGCACAAUCCUACACCUGCGCUUCUCUGAUACCAAAGCAGCACGUAUGUGUAUCUAACUCCCAAGAUUCGUGGAGCCAAAACGAUCAUUAGCUGCAAUGUAACUCUUUUUUAAUCACAAACUGAACACAGGAAAUAGAAUGUAGAUACCUAUGACUGUAAACUAAAUUAACGUCUUUCUUUAACAAGACGGAUAAACUACAAUUGAAUUAUUCUCACGUUCUUUCAGGACAGAAAUACAUUCCUAAAAUUUACUUGGCAUAUAAAGCGACAUUCCUACGUCUACAGGGUGAGACAAAAAUAUGUAACAAUGACAUUUACGCUUUUUGGUUUCUGGAUGAAACUAAUUAAGAAAUUAAUUAAGUUCUUUUGAACCGUUUUAAUACAAAACUACAUGCUAAAACAAACCUAAUGUCUUGUUGAAUACUAGGGCUAGGAAUCGUUAAACAAAAGAUGUACGAAUAAAGAGUAAAAUUAUUAUGUUUUAAAAUUAAAUAAAUUUAGAGUGUUUUAUUUGGAAGUAUAAAAAGUUUAAACCGCCUGUUGAUAAUCCUGAUAAGAUUUUUGAAGAAAUAUUUUUAAUAUCGUUGGUUGUUUAUCCAGUAAGUUCGCUUUUGUUUUGUUUAAUUUUGAAAUUUAUCAUAAAUUAUCAGAUUCUGCGCUACUUCAGGAGCAGCUCAAUGCUUUUAACACUUGGAUCAUUGCAAGUCCAGUUUGUAAUAGUAUUGAUGAUACAAACACUGGUAUUUUUGUUUUGUCUAUGAGGCAUUGCAGUUACUACGCUGGGCAAAUAAGACUGUUCUGGGAAUUGAUAAAAUAACAAUAUUUCGUCCAUCUCUAUUUUACGUUUUAACGAUAUUUUAUAAAAUGCAUUUCUUUUUGAGUGAAAAAUGAAGAAAAAUGUAGAAGUUGAGGAGCUUGAAGUUAACACGUUUUUUUUAGUCCUAUAAUAUCAUUUCAUAUCACUUUUAUUAUAUUAAGGCCUCUCUGGUCUUAUAAUUAUAUUUCUGAUAGUAGUUUUGAGCAUAUAUUUUCUAUUUUUCUCUAUGAGACAUUAAAUUUGUUUGCUGAUGUUUUAUUGUGAUAAAAGUGUCGGCUCAAUACAUCAGGAUGUAACCUAUUUGUUUUUAUGUCUAUUAUACUCUUUGUCUAAAAUGUUCACCUCAUACUUCAAUAACAUUACAUUUCAAAAGAAAUGAAACAGGAGAUUAAAAAAAAUGAAUUAAAAAUGAGCUUCAUUACUUGGCUACAAAAAGGGCACAGGACAUAGAAAAACAUGAGUACGUAACAUAACUUUCCUUCAGUAUACAAAAAUGAAGGUCAAACGUACAUUAACCCUUUAAGGCAAAGAACUACAUAAUUGUUUCUUUUUACGGGGAAUAUUUGCGAAAAUUGUUAAAUUAAAUAGAAGGUAAUGAGUUACCUGAUAGAAAAAACGGAAAUUAUCUUUAAAUUUAUUUUUUUCGGGGUGGUAAAUAUUGCUACCAGUAGGUGUUUGUGAGCAUUUACGACUGGUAAAUAUUUCUACCACUAUAUCUACACGCUAAAAGAAAAGUUGUAAAAGAGAAAAUAUGUAUUUCAAAUUUCAUUUCUGAUGAUAUAUGUAUUGAAAGACAUUCAGUUAUUACAUCUAUGAUAAGAGCCCUUGAUUUUGCCUUUUUGGACAAUUUGAAUUCCGAAUUUUUUUCGGAUAAAAUCGCACUAUUUAUGUCACAAAUCACAAAAAUUCUCGUGUAUUCAUGGAAAACAGUUGUAAAGCUUCUUAAAAAAAUUAGUAAGAUGUGUUGGCAAUGUGAAAUAGAUCGGAACAACUUUCAGAAAUCAUUUUUUCAUUUCAUCAAUUUUAAUGAAUAAACUAAUAAAAAAAAUAAAAUAAAUUACUCUAACAUUAAUACUGCUGAAGUACCCUACACAAAUACUUAGUGGUAGCUCUUUUUACUGCUCAAAGACCCUUGGAUUAGUACAGGCAUACGUGAGUCGUGUGGUCUCUAAUUUUACCAAAUAUCCUUUGCAGCAGUACUGUUUGUGCUUACGAUCUAGUACUACUGCCGUAGGUAGACAAAAAUAACCUUGAAUAAUAGUGGUAAAUAUAGCUACCAUGUACACUUAAAGGGUUAAUGAGACAGAUGCUGUAGGGUUAAUGAGACAAGGAAAUUUGAGAGUAGGUAAAAACAAAAUAAGAACACUGUAUGAUUUCUGUUAUAGACGUUGGCGGAAGGAUCAUACAAUAGUAGGAGAGAGAGAAGGAGGCAAGUCGUAUAUCGAGACAGGUCUGUGCUAACCUGCGUCUAUAGCUUCAAAUUAAGAUAUAUUUUUCAGCAAAUAUUGACAAAUACACUAACGAUGUUCGUUUUCAUAGUUUUUAAAUCACAUAAUAAUGGACAAAACUGUUAACUUCUUGACGAGCCGAUAUUUUAGAACUGGUAUUAGGUUUUUUAUGAUUUUAGCUACUAGGUGGACAGUAUUCGCAGCUAAUGCUAUAUGUAUAGAUAUUAAAUGAACAGUUACAAAUAAUUUUCUUUGAAUUUGUGCAAUCUCUCAUCCAGCAGUAACUACAAUGUCGUUUUACUGAUUUUUAUUUUAGUCAUUAUAUUUAUUAAAUUGGGUUAGUUCAUUGGCGUUUUUCAAUGUAUAGAAGGGGGGACUCGAAACUGUCAAAAUCCCUUUACGUAGUUUGAAAAUUUACGAAAAAAAAAAGAAUCUAUUUUUGUUAGAUGUCAAAAAAAAAUUAUAUGUACCUAUUGGAGCCCUCGCUCGAUUACGCCAAUGAGAUAGAAUGAUUCUCUUUGUCUUCUGCUAGUUUAUUUUCGCACUCAGGUAAUACAGUAUGAUUGUAAUUACGAGACAUAGAUGUGGCGAAUGAGGGAUAAAAAGACAUGUUGAAAAAUUGUGUUAAAUUUGAUUUUUUUAAUGAAAUUUAAAAAAUACCUAAUGUUGUUUGAUGCUUAAAUAGGUAGAAACCGAUUUGAUGUGUUGCUGAAUUCAUUUAAACUUUGUCAUAUUAUAUAUGAACUUGUAUCAGCCUUUUCAUUCAUUCAUUUUUUUUGUAAAACGGUGUUCCUCAAAAAUCCAAUUGAGAUUUAGUUGAAUAACUGUUUCGACAUUUCUCAUAUAAUAAAACUUAUUAAAAUUUUGCAUCAAAAUAUGAAGAUGCGUUUCUUUAAACCACGAAACGUUAUUUCUCGUAUAGCGACAUCUAUGUUUAAAAGGAAAUAACCACUUACUUAGUAUUUAAUUUUAUAUUACUUACAGAUAUCGUUCAUUUGUAUAUGGUAUUUUUCUGUAACUGAUGGGUAUAUAUGUAUAUUUAUAUGUGAAAAAUAUUGAGAAAAUUUGAAAAGAGACCAAGUGGACAGUGCCUUUACAUUAACCUCUGACGAUGGAGGGAGUUAUGCUUGUUUAGGGCAAGAUACAUAUUAUGAUUGUAAUAUGCCUUAAUUAUGUUAGUAUUAAAUAUUUAAUUCUUUAAA